Diachasma alloeum is the source of this 740-nucleotide long non-coding RNA. RefSeq lists it as uncharacterized. NCBI's taxonomy places the organism in Eukaryota, Metazoa, Arthropoda, Insecta, Hymenoptera, Braconidae. The transcript has 3 exons. The record is from RefSeq and is a predicted model, not a curated record.
AUUACGUAGGACGGUCGGAGAAGCUGAAUGUACCAAAACAAGCAAACUAUUGAUGAAUCAGACCUGAGAAAGAUCUGGCGAUUAUGGAAGUCCUCGCCGAGCUGCUGCAUACCCCCCAGAUUCUUCUUUAACAGCUAAGUUGACAUAUUUUUCUAUUUUAUAGCACUCAUCUCACACGAUAUUUGAGCCCCAUGAGUCUAAUCAAUGUAAUCAACCCAUUCAUAUCUGUCCUUAUUCGUUUUCAGUCAAACUGAAACUAUUGUAGCCUCUGGAUUCUCACAGUGCCACAUUCACUCCCACAUUCACUCACAGCUAAGUCAAGAUAAUUAUUUUGAAUUAUUUCAAUUGAUAGUUGAAUGUUGGUAAAACAUUUUCAUUAAUUUACAACCUGUUCACUUUGUCUAUAGCGAAAAGUCAGGAUUCUGGACGAUCGACAGGAGUAAUCAUUGCAGUUUCACAGUCAUCAGCCCGCCUUUCUCACAUGCCGAUUUGUUUGGUGAUUUAGUGUUCUCCAUGUUCUUUCGGCGAUAAAGGUCGUUUUACGGAGUCGCCCAUGUCGACCGGGGUUUUCCAUGGUUUCCCUCGGUCACCAGGAGUGUCUGCAAAUGAAGUACAGCUCCUGGGGCAAAUGCGACGUGAUUGGAGGAAGACGGCCCAUGGUAACGCAUAAAAAUGACAGUAGAAAACCGGAUAAGCUCUACAAAUAUUGUAUCCAAGGAAAUAUAUCUAUAUUAUUGUUA